AUGCUGCACUCGUCACUUCACUGCAAAGUCCCAAAUGGCGCAAUCGACAUUACGUCGGUUCUUAUUUUCCUAAAUGCCUUGACGGAUGCACCACAUUUCCUCAUGGAGUUCAUACAAGCGGUGUCGGUCACCAUCGACUGCGGGCAAGGAGGGGAGGGUACCAUGGAAGAGAUAGUGUGCGGUCAUCUGGCGUCAGUUGUCAAGGAGGUUCUUCGAAUCUGGCUUCAUACUUGCACUGGUGACACCUCCGAAAUGGAAGAGGCCGAGAGGGAGAUAAUGAUCAAGAGGGACCAAGCUGUAAGAUUAAAAUCAACUGAGGUCGACCUAACUGCAAAUCUGCCUAGGAUGUUUGGUCCUGAUGUGUCUGGCCACAUCAUUGCUGAAACCCGUAAGGCCUUUGGGGUA
Molecule: ribosomal RNA, 405 nt
Filed under: Triticum aestivum (bread wheat)
Lineage: Eukaryota; Viridiplantae; Streptophyta; Magnoliopsida; Poales; Poaceae
Description: partial small subunit ribosomal RNA
Source: RNAcentral